CCGCAGUAUUGGAAGAGCUUGUACUACAAAUUCAUCAGUGAGGUGCACGACGCAGGCGUAGGCCUCACUGCAGGUACAACAGGACGAUAAGGAAGGAGAUCAAGAGAGAAUGCUAAUCCUGGUGUCCAGUAGAUAGAUACAAAAGAGUGACUGUGUCAAGGGGGCCUGGCAUGCAAGGCUUAGAGCCCACCAGAUUACCUGCCGCCCCAGAUCCCCAGCCUCCUGCCCAGGAUGGCUUUCCUCAUGAGGGUUGACUUCCAUAGAGCGGAUCCUGACACAGAUGUUGUGGAGCUGGUGAACGAAUGUGGAAGUACAACCAAACCUACCAGCUUGCCCAGGGUGUACGAGUACUCUCUCACUCUCUCUCUCUCUCUCUCUCUCUCUCACGCACUCACUCACACACACAAAUGAUUGUUGUCUUAUAAACAAUGACAGGCCAGCGGGGUCUGACAACUUGGAUGGAAAGUUACUGAGGAUAAUAGAGGACAAUACUGCCACUCUUAUUUGCCACAUUGAAUUUAAGCCUAUUAGAAAGUGUGUGCCCUCAGGCCUGGAGGGAGGCUAAAGUCAUUAUGCUACCUAAGAAUAGUAAAUUCUCCUUUACUGGCUCAAAUAGCCGACCAAUCAGACUGUUACCAACCCUGAGUAAACUUUUGGAAAAAAUGGGGUUUGACCAGAUACAAUGCUAUUUUACAGUAAACAAAUUGACAACAGACUUUCAGCACGCUUAUAGGGAAGGACAUUCAACAAGCACAGCACUUACACAAAUGACUGAUGAUUGGCUGAGAGAAAAUAAUUAUAAAAAUAUUGUGGGGGCUGUUCAGUGCGGCUUUUAACAUUAUCGAUAACAGUCUGCUGCUGGAAAAAUUCAAGUUUUAUGGCUUGACACUCCCUACGAUAUUGUGGAUAAACGAUAUUGUGGAUAACCUGUCUAACAAAACACAGAGGGUGUUCUCUCCAGCAUAAUACAGGUAGAUUCAGGAAUUCCCUAGGGCAGCUGUCUAAGCCCCUAGAGACUGCAUCAUCUGUGGAUCUGUUGGUGCGGUAUGCAAAUGGAGUGGGUCUAGGGUUUCUGGGAUAAUGUUGUUGAUGUGAGCCAUGACCAGCCUUUCAAAGCACUUCAUGACUACAGACGUGAGUGCUAUGGGUCGGUAAUCAUUUAGGCAGGUUACCUUAGUGUUUUUGGGCACAGGGACUAUGGUGGUCUGCUUGAAACAUGUUGGUAUUACAGGAUCAGACAGGGAGAGGUUGAAAAUGUCAGUGAAGACUCUUGCCAGUUGGUCUGUGCAUGCUCAUAGUACACAUUCUGGUAAUCCGUCUGGCCCAGCGGCCUUGUGAAUGUUGACCUGUUUAGAGGUCUUCCUCCCAUCGGCUGCGGAGAGCGUGAUCUGGAACAGCUGUGUGAAUGCUGAUCUAUUUAAGGUUCUUACUCCCAUUGGCUGCUGAG
Oncorhynchus tshawytscha (Chinook salmon) is the source of this 1447-nucleotide long non-coding RNA. The record is from Ensembl. Lineage: Eukaryota; Metazoa; Chordata; Actinopteri; Salmoniformes; Salmonidae.